Gasterosteus aculeatus aculeatus (three-spined stickleback) is the source of this 2577-nucleotide long non-coding RNA. The record is from Ensembl. Lineage: Eukaryota; Metazoa; Chordata; Actinopteri; Perciformes; Gasterosteidae.
CAACUUGUAACGUCUCGUUAGCCUCAUGUGUCUGUGAAAAUUCCCUGUAUUUUGUUAAUGACUGUGACUGCCCUUUUUUGUGGAUUUUGCGCUUUCGUGUUGUUUUGAGUUUCCUUUUGUUCACCAAUGAACCUUUUUUUUCAAGUUAAAUCUAGUCUCCAGUGUCAAAUCUCUCCAUUUGAGUCCUCAUCCAGACGUGAAACGUGACACUACAAUCUGAUGGACUCAGCAGAGGACAGCGCAAUGCGCUCCGCCCUUCAAACGCAAGGGAAGAGCCUAUACGACCACGAACAGCUGCUCUCCGGGUUAGACAGCGGGGUUGAGGCGCUUCACGCUCACCAGAAUGCAUUUCAAACCAACUGCAGGAUCUCAGCCGUCGGGCGGAACCAGCACCGACAGGUCCACCAGCUCCAGCGGUUUGCAGCACGUACCUCGAAUUGAGAGCUAUGACGGCAACGCUGUGUCGCUCUUUUUUAUCAUUAUGUUCACUUACCUUUGACCUCCAACCCUUGUCCUACCCCACCAAACAGUCCAGGGUGGCGUUCAUCAUUACUAACAUCUCAGGGAGGGCAAGGGAAUGGGCUACAGCGUAGUGGGACAAUCAAACUGCCAUUUGCCAAUCUGUUGUGGAUUUUGCCGGGGCCCUAACAAGGGUGUUUGACCACCGGGUCCCAGGUAGUGAGUCGGCUCGAGGACUUUUUUCUCUCUGCCAGGGGAGCAGCCGGGCGGCUGAUUAUGCCAUUCGCUUCCGCACCCUAGCAGCAGACAGACAGUGCAACUUUCCUUCCAUGGCAGACGCCUUCUGGUUCGGGAGAUCAAGGAACAAUUAGCGCCUCUUGACUUACUAACAGACCUUGAAGGCUUAGUGGCUCUGGUAGUCAAAAUUGAUAACCGGCUUUAUGCAAGAGAGAUGGAGAGACGCCAGGCCAAGAGGAGAUCUCCGGAGCCCCAGGAGCUACCCUCUUCAUCACGUCGGCCAGACCUAUGACCAAACCAUCACUCGAACCGCUACGCUUCUACAAGGAUCGACUGUCCUCCCUAAUGUGCAAGAGGAGCCCAUGCAACUUGUCUCGUCUCUCACCGGAGGAGCAUCACGUCGACUAAAGGAUGAGAGCAGCUGGAACACUUCCUGGCCAGAUGUCCGUUAAAAUACUCGGCUCGCCAGUAAGAGGAGGAUUAGUUCCCCCCUCCACCCCAUCGAAUCAUCGACGGUGUUCGUCCUCCCAGCCUCCCUGCAUCAUCACUACGAACUGCAUAUUUCCCCCUUAUUAUCUGCUCGUGUGAGGCUAAUUUCUUUCUUGAGCAGAUGAACUGUGCCUAUUUUCAUUGGUCUCACCUAUGAAAAUGUCUCGGUAAUGUCUCGGUGUUGUAUACAUUAAUAAACCCCUCUUUGGCUCGCUUGCUCACUCACCUUGCAAGAAUAGGUCAUUCGCAAAUAUGAUGGACAGGUGAUCUGUGCCAGGACAAUGUGACCUCUAUAACCUUUUAGUGACCUUUCACAACCUUCUGACCAGCCGAUUGGUGUCCAACCCGUCCCUCUCUGAUUAGCCUGGAAAUUGGAGAUGAGCAGCACCCUGCCGCGCAGGCGCACACACACAAACACACACAAAAUCCAACACUUCGCCGCAAGCAGCCCAUCUCCAAUCUCCAGUUUUUGCUUCUGAAGGGAAACACGAUGAGGCUUAUCGACCACCGUGUUGUUAACCACAGCAAAUUUGUAGUUUUGUUUUCCCACGUUUCACUGUGUCAAAGCUGAGGACUCCAGCCGUACUCCUAAUUUCCUUUAGUUACAUGCUCUCACUACAUUUUGUCUUUCCUUGCCUGUUUCAUACAGCUAACAGUGAAAAUGGCUAAAUCCAGCUACAUUACAAAACCAGUGAUUCCACGAUUAUCACAAAGAGGCAGUGACUCACUUUGUGAGGAAACAGAAAGGACAUUUGUUUAUGAAAUUAAUGAAAAGAAAGGCUGCUCAGAGAAUAUCAAAAUACAGAGACCACCAACUCACACCACUCUGUGGUCAAUCAACAGCUCAGGACUUCAUUUCAGCCGGCGUCAGUGCCACAGCUGCAGAUGGAAAUGUUCAUAGAUUACAUAAUGCAGUUACUAUAAGCUAGACUGUGAACUGCCGGCAGCAUCUGCCCACACACUGCAUUUAUUCCUCAGACUCAACCCAAAUGAAGGAGUUAUUUUAUCUCCCCAAUCCAUAUCUUUCACUUGUCCUAUCGUUUAUCUUUCUCUCCCUGUUGUAUUCUAUCACUGUCUAUCUUGUUUUACAGGGUUUGGGGGAAAUGAGAAACGCCGGGAAGCGAGUGAGAGGGAGAGAGGAAGACAAAGUGGUGUGUUCACUGUGGAGCUUCACAGCGUCUGUUGGUUCCUGUGGGAGAGUUUGUUGGCAUUCACCUUGAGGUGUACACGUGCAGACAAACAUGCUCCUGCAAACACACGGACACGUGCACAAGUGAUUUAAGUCAAACGGAGGCAAACGCGUUGUCGUAAACAUAAACAGUCAUAAAGUCCGUUAUUAUUUCUGCAAUAUAAUAUAAAGUUGUUCCUUGAAGAGAAGGUUUCUUGUUUUUA